Long non-coding RNA from Coregonus clupeaformis (lake whitefish), 488 nucleotides. RefSeq lists it as uncharacterized. NCBI's taxonomy places the organism in Eukaryota, Metazoa, Chordata, Actinopteri, Salmoniformes, Salmonidae. The transcript is spliced from 3 exons. The record is from RefSeq and is a predicted model, not a curated record.
UGACCUAUCACGCGUUGGGGUUUUGGGGGCCGGUUUGGUGAGCACCAGUGGAUAGAGGAGGAAACGACAGCUGUCUACCAUCAGACCAGCCAAACGGACCGGACUAAUAUAUUUAUUAGAUUUUAUUCAACUUUUAUUUUUGUUUAUUGAUUGGUGUGAGUGAAAACUGUGUUCCGAAGUCCGGAGCAGAGGAGCUGAGAGCACCAUCUCUACACAGCAUGACCCCGGAGAGAGAUAGGAGGAGGGUAAUGAGUUGUGAAGCAGCGAGGGCUAGGCGGAGAGCAGAGUCUCAGGUGUUGACUGACAUGUCUCAACUCCUCCCACUCCCUUCCUCCCUCCGCCCACACCUAGACAAACCCUCCAUCAUACGACUAACCAUCAGCUACCUACGUAUACACACACUGCUCUCUGGCUUUGCUGACCGACAGACGUGGGAGAGGAGGGGCGAGAGGGGGGAGGACGAGGGAGAGAUGGUGACGAAGGAGGAG